Molecule: ribosomal RNA, 901 nt
Filed under: uncultured bacterium
Lineage: Bacteria
Description: bacterial SSU rRNA
Rfam family: Bacterial small subunit ribosomal RNA
Source: RNAcentral
AGAGUUUGAUCCUGGCUCAGGACAAACGCUGGCGGCGUGCCUAACACAUGCAAGUCGAGCGGAGAUACCUGACGAGUAAUCAGAGAGUAUUUUAGCGGCGGACGGGUGAGUAACGCGUGAGCAACCUGCCCUUUACAGGGGGAUAACGCACCGAAAGGUGCACUAAUACCGCAUGAGACCACGGUACCGCAUGGUACAGAGGUCAAAGGAGCAAUCCGGUAGAGGAGGGGCUCGCGUCCGAUUAGGUAGUUGGUGGGGUAAUGGCCUACCAAGCCAACGAUCGGUAGCCGACCUGAGAGGGUGAUCGGCCACAUUGGAACUGAGAUACGGUCCAAACUCCUACGGGAGGCAGCAGUGGGGAAUAUUGGGCAAUGGGGGGAACCCUGACCCAGCGACGCCGCGUGAGGGAAGAAGGUUUUCGGAUUGUAAACCUCUGUCCUUGGUGAAGAGUAGAAGACGGUAACCAAGGAGGAAGCCCCGGCUAACUACGUGCCAGCAGCCGCGGUAAUACGUAGGGGGCGAGCGUUGUCCGGAAUGAUUGGGCGUAAAGGGCGCGUAGGCGGCCAUGCAAGUCUGGAGUGAAAGUCCAUUUUUCAAGGAUGGAAUUGCUUUGGAAACUGUGUGGCUGGAGUGCAGGAGAGGUUAUCGGAAUUCCCGGUGUAGCGGUGAAAUGCGUAGAGAUCGGGAGGAACACCAGUGGCGAAGGCGGGUAACUGGACUGCAACUGACGCUGAGGCGCGAAAGUGUGGGGAGCAAACAGGAUUUAGAUACCCUGGUAGUCCACACCAUAAACGAUGAAUGCUAGGUGUAGGUGGUAUCGACCCCAUCUGUGCCGGAGUAACACAAUAAGCAUUCCGCCUGGGGAGUACGGUCGCAAGAUUAAACUCAAAGGAAUUGACGG